Myotis lucifugus (little brown bat) is the source of this 90-nucleotide microRNA precursor. Ensembl annotates it as microRNA 200a. Its record names the gene MIR200A. The record is from Ensembl. Lineage: Eukaryota; Metazoa; Chordata; Mammalia; Chiroptera; Vespertilionidae.
CUGGGCCUCUGUGGGCAUCUUACCGGACAGUGCUGGAUUUCUCGGCUCGACUCUAACACUGUCUGGUAACGAUGUUCAAAGGUGACCCAC